This is a long non-coding RNA of Hypomesus transpacificus, 862 nucleotides long. RefSeq lists it as uncharacterized. The transcript is spliced from 5 exons. The record is from RefSeq and is a predicted model, not a curated record. Lineage: Eukaryota; Metazoa; Chordata; Actinopteri; Osmeriformes; Osmeridae.
GUGAGCACACAGUUAAUGACGCAAGGCAGUCCAAGACUUAAAACAUAAACCGUAUCUAAAAUAUCCUUUAAAGUGAGUAUGAAAGAAAUGUGUUCCCUAAACAGAGAAUAUAGAUUUAUUUGGCAACAUUUGAGUUCUUUGUCAAGAGCAGUGGCUUACAGAUCAAGAUGGAUACUUGUAUGAGGGUGAAACAUUGUACACGCUGCCACAUGGAGGGAUGAGGUGAGUCUUCAGUUGCAACUUCCUUCCUUCCACAAAGAUGAGAGAGGAUCCACAAGGACACACAAGGGUCUCUUUGACUGAGGUCGAUUUGAGACUGACCCCAGUGGUUAAUGAGAGUUGAGGGCGAGAGCUGAAUCCAAGUGAUCAAGCCAGACAACACUCCCUUGGCCCUGGGCCUGCCUGUCACUGUGAUUUACCCACAACCAUCCCAGCCCAGAACACAGACCAGACUCAAUAGACUGGACAGAAGCGUGGAGAAUAUUUGGACUCAGCUGUGGCUGAUGGAGCUACGCAUGUCAACUGGUCCCUGGAUGGUGAACUCCCACAGCCUGUGUGCUAGGCUGUAUAUGCCUUUUCCUGUUUGGGGACCACUCCAUCUGUGACACCUGAGCAUGCAUGGGAGCAUCAAACGAGACGAGCGGGGAGCUCUCCCAGCAGAUCCAGAGGAGAGCCAGCUCAGCUCCCUGCGUCUGGGCUCCGUGGCACGAUAGGCCAGUCACAAUCCACCGUCUCCACCCCAGACCACCUGGGUCUCUGCAGAGUGGGAAAAAGCAAUCUGUGCAAGAAGCCUGGAGCCUUCAGUACACAGGGUUUGAACAAUACGCUGCACCACACCUUUCUUUCUCCCUCUCUCUCUCUC